CCUCAGAGUUCCCUCAGGAUAAAGUCCAAUGCCUGUAGAACAGCCUGCCCAUCCUGGCCCUGUUCUUACCCAGACAGCCUUUUCUCCAGCACCCUUUCCUUAUCCACUGGCACGAUCCGUCAUCAUGCCGGCCUCACACGUGUAGUUGUCAUGAACUCCGCCAUAGGUAUAGGGGAAUCCUUGGAGCUCCUCUCCUGGCCCCCAGCUUCCUCUUCAGGGUGGAUGGAGAUGUCUCUCCUCUGCAGUGUGUUCUUUCCUGACCAACCAUGUAGAGCAUUCGCAUGCAUUCAGCCCUCUGUGCAUGCUUAGUGCAUAGCGUCCUGACAAUCCCUUCCUAUCCUUAAACCCCAUCUGUUUGUCUGUCCCUCUGUUCCUGAGUUGUCUGUCUACCCUGUGCUUGGGAUCUUCAUUGCCAGUGAGCAGCAACUUGCAUAUAGCAGGCUUCUAGGAAGUAUUUAUGACCUAGGACUUUGAGACCUGACACAGGAGGAUAGCAAGUUUGAAGCCAUACUGGUCUACUUUUUUCUUUUUAAAGAGGCCCAAGGGGAUGGAGAGGUGGCUCAGGGAUUAAGAGCAUGUUCUACUCUUCCAGAGGACCCAGGUUUGAUUCCCAGCACCUACAUCAGGUGGUUCACAGUCACUUAUACCUCCAGCUCCACGGGGACCUGAUGCCUCUGGCUUCCACAGGUGCCUGUACUCAUGUGCACAUACCCACACGUACACAUAAUUUAAAACAAUAAAUAAAUCUUGGGAGAAAAAGCGCUGUCUGACCUGAUGUAUUUAGAAUCAGAAAGGAUGGGUACACCUUGCUCUUCAGUGCUGGUCGUAUCUCCCUAGAGGAGCUGAGGAAGACCCACAUGCACAUACACUUUAGGAGUUUUAUGCUCCAUGAGAAAAAGAAAGGAA
This 906-nucleotide long non-coding RNA is filed under the name Rattus norvegicus (Norway rat). RNAcentral's name for it is "long non-coding RNA NONRATT009448". Lineage: Eukaryota; Metazoa; Chordata; Mammalia; Rodentia; Muridae. The record is from RNAcentral.